UUGAACGCUGGCGGCAGGCCUAACACAUGCCAGUCGAGCGGAUGAAGGGAGCUUGCUCCUGGAUUCAGCGGCGGACGGGUGAGUAAUGCCUAGGAAUCUGCCUGGUAGUGGGGGAUAACGUCCGGAAACGGGCGCUAAUACCGCAUACGUCCUGAGGGAGAAAGUGGGGGAUCUUCGGACCUCACGCUAUCAGAUGAGCCUAGGUCGGAUUAGCUAGUUGGUGGGGUAAAGGCCUACCAAGGCGACGACCCGUAACUGGUCUGAGAGGAUGAUCAGUCACACUGGAACUGAGACACGGUCCAGACUCCUACGGGAGGCAGCAGUGGGGAAUAUUGGACAAUGGGCGAAAGCCUGAUCCAGCCAUGCCGCGUGUGUGAAGAAGGUCUUCGGAUUGUAAAGCACUUUAAGUUGGGAGGAAGGGCAGUAAGUUAAUACCUUGCUGUUUUGACGUUACCAACAGAAUAAGCACCGGCUAACUUCGUG
Molecule: ribosomal RNA, 483 nt
Filed under: uncultured bacterium
Lineage: Bacteria
Description: partial 16S ribosomal RNA
Rfam family: Bacterial small subunit ribosomal RNA
Source: RNAcentral